AUUGAACGCUGGCGGCAGGCCUAACACAUGCAAGUCGAGCGGUAACAGGAAUUAGCUUGCUAAUUUGCUGACGAGCGGCGGACGGGUGAGUAAUGCCUGGGAAUAUGCCUUGAUGUGGGGGAUAACUAUUGGAAACGAUAGCUAAUACCGCAUAAUGCCUACGGGCCAAAGAGGGGGAUCUUCGGACCUCUCGCGUCAAGAUUAGCCCAGGUGGGAUUAGCUAGUUGGUGGGGUAAUGGCUCACCAAGGCGACGAUCUAUGGCUGGUCUGAGAGGAUGAUCAGCCACAUCGGGACUGAUACACGGCCCGG
RNAcentral lists this ribosomal RNA (310 nucleotides) under uncultured bacterium. Its description in RNAcentral is "bacterial SSU rRNA". It matches the Rfam family "Bacterial small subunit ribosomal RNA", at positions 30 to 334 of the family's 1533-position model. The record is from RNAcentral.